CGUCCUCGUUUGUGUUGCCAUUCUAUUCUUGGCCUUUGAAAAUUGCUUCAGACGUCCUCGUCGUCGGGUCCAAAUUAGAUUUUCCUGUUUAGACCCCGACAAGUUCGUUGGUGUAUUAUUUCACACUUUUGACUGGUACCAAUCCGACUCGCUAACAAUAAUAAUUCAUUAGAUCUAAACCACCAGCCUAAAAUAUUUAAACUCAAUUAUUAUUACUAGCGUAUAUACCUCAUAUAUUUUAAGUAAAAUUAUUUUUCCACCCGAUGUGAAAUUAUUAGGACAUUAUAAUUUUUGCUAAACAUUCUACUGCUCUCUCUCGUUUCGAAGAGAAUU
Molecule: long non-coding RNA, 333 nt
Filed under: Ananas comosus (pineapple)
Lineage: Eukaryota; Viridiplantae; Streptophyta; Magnoliopsida; Poales; Bromeliaceae
Description: long non-coding RNA (ACOM_LNC021501)
Source: RNAcentral